GGGUGUGAGGCCAAUUUGGCUGUGAAAUCCAUGAACAAACACAUUGAUCACCAGGGUUGGUUGGGCUGAUGUGAUGAGGUAGGGAACAUGUUCCCUUCCUCCCUCACCCUCCACUUUCACCCCUUCCAAAACUGCAUUCUGCAUGGGAGAAGACAGCUUUCCCCAGUAGUAAAGGACCAUUCUUUCAUCAAGGUAUAAAACUAGCUCUACUCCCCUGGCAGAACCUCCAAAGAAGCUCUCACAACACAAUUUUAGUACAUCAGAGUUACAGGUCGGAAAUCAGAGCAAGGU
Molecule: small nuclear RNA, 291 nt
Filed under: Nannospalax galili (Upper Galilee mountains blind mole rat)
Lineage: Eukaryota; Metazoa; Chordata; Mammalia; Rodentia; Spalacidae
Description: 7SK RNA (ENSNGAG00000006209.1)
Rfam family: 7SK RNA
About the family: 7SK was discovered as an abundant small nuclear RNA in the mid-70s but a possible function has only recently been suggested.
Source: RNAcentral